CUCCGCCCUCAAUAGCGUGGUAACGGAUGACAGGACACCACUUUCAACGAAGGAGACAGACAUUUCCCUGGCCUUUCUGAAGAGCGCUUUUUGGAGAGACAAACCUGUUGCUCAGGGGCUGAGCAUUCCCGUGUGUUCUCCCUGUACUUCACCUAAAAAUAUGCCUGUUUUCCACACUGUGCACACCCGGGGGUGGGUGCUGGGCAUACUCCACCUGCUUGUUUGCCUCCCGUUUUCUCAUCAGGGAGUAAACACAGUAAACCUAACGCUCCAGGGGAAGGAAAAAACAAAUCAUUCAGGGCCCAUCUCAGGUGACUGAUGAAUGCGGCACCGUUUUGAACGGGUACCUAAUCUGGUCCAGAUAUGCCUGCUGGGGCUGCAAGAACCAAGACACGUUCAAGCACGUUUGCUCCGGCAAGCUUGGGCGAGCAGGUCAAGACCUCAGAGUUUUAGAAAGCAGGGGCGAAGUUUUCAAGCACGAUGGGAACACCUGUAGGUGCAGGUGCCUGAGGGUCGGCCGACCACCUCGCAUCUGAGGCUGGAUCCGCACACGGAGAACGACAACUGCUCACAGGGACGUGCGUCCGGAGGAAAGUUGCGCGGCGGGAGAGGGCGAAGUGGAGGACUGCUGCUCGGUUCCGUAUCCAA
This 648-nucleotide long non-coding RNA is filed under the name Homo sapiens (human). RNAcentral's name for it is "non-protein coding lnc-BASP1-6:2". The record is from RNAcentral. Lineage: Eukaryota; Metazoa; Chordata; Mammalia; Primates; Hominidae.